GCAGACCACUGGCCAGCUCUGACCAGAAACCCAUGUGAACUAAUCAACUAUGACCAGGGACAGGGUCAUGACCGAAUAUGGCAGCUCCUGUGGGAGCCAUACAGCUGGAGGGGAAUGUUAGACAAACAACAGGUGCCACACAGGAGUGCCAGCUGAGGAGUUAAACUUCGGAAGGAAGUGGGAGUCAGGGCAUGAUGGCAGGUAGCUGAGCAUUUAAUAGACAGUCCCAGGGGAGAAAAGGGAGUGAAGUGGAGUGAUUCAAAAACCACAGGGUUUGAACUUGGGCCUGAGUUUAAAAUCUGCCAUCUCGUCACUGCGUGACCUUGGGUAAGUUAUUAACCUCCCUGAUGCUCAAUUUUCUUAAACAUUAAAAAGGAAAAAAGAGUAUACCUAACUUUAACCCUGAUCCUUCACUUUCUUAUCUGUUAAUAGAAAAAAAUAUACAUAGUACCAAACAUGGAGGAUGCUAAGGAGAAUUUAAAGACGCAAUAGGCAAAGCACCUGACACAUGACUGGUCUCAUCUAAAUAGUGGUCAUUACUCUUGCUCCUCUCGGUGACCCCUGAAGACAUAAGUAGAACCAAUGCCUGGAAGUCACAGGAUAAAGCUUUCUGUUUGACGAGCAUUUAGUCAGUGGAAUGGCUCAAAAACAGAAGAGGCUGUCUUCUACAGGGCCAGUUCCCACUUGGAACGAGGCAGAAGGGUGUAGGGGAAAGACAGUCAGGAUUCAUUCAGAAGGUCUUGCCCCCGCUUCCUAGCUGGGUCUUCCACAGGAACCUUCCUCCUCUCACCCUCCAGUUACUACCCUCCCUCCUUCCCCGCCUCCAAGGCAACCAACACCAAGGCUCUUCUCGCCAUAAGUUAGUCUUGCCUCGUUUUGAACUUCACCGACGUGGAAUCAUACAGUUUGUAAUCUUUUGAGCUUGGUGUCUUUUACUCAGCAUGUAGUUUCUGAGAUGUUAUUGUCUGAAGGUGUAGUUUAUUCUCAAAACAUUUUUGUCAUUAUUUUCCGGUUCCGCUGGCGAGUUGUCACCUUGAAACAAAAUGGCUAUCAGAAAAAACCUUCCAAAUGGCUGAGCUUCGAUGACUGCACCAAAUGAUGGCUAUGGUUCAAAAAACCCACUAGUUUGGUAUUUUGAAUCACAAGAUGAUUCACUGAGUUGCCCUAGAGCAUAAGACAUAAAAUGUGCACAUCCUUUCUAGCAAAUGAAAUAAACUGAGCAGUAGGAGCCAACAGCUAAAAUCAAAGCAGGCAUAUCAAAACCUUAGGGGACUCCAAGGAGAAAGAUUCGAUUAGAAUGAGGAGAGACGGUGUCGAGCCUAAGCAAAUAGGUAAAUAAAGAACAGAAAUUGCCCGUAGAGUCACUGGAGGUGUUAGAAGUGGCAGGCGUGACACACCAUGGAAAGAAGAGAGAUAUUGACAUGAUACAGGGCUGGCAUUAAGCCUUUGGUCCCCUGCCCAUUAACCGUAUGAUCCUGAGCAAGUUACUUCCCUUCUCUGAGUCUCAAGUGCUUUAGCCACAAAAUUGAAAUAGUACCUACCUCUUAGGCUUGGUUUAAAGAUAAAAGUCAAUUAAACGAUAGUGUGAAAUAGAAAGCAGAUGUUUGUGUUCUUAAGAAAUGAAGAAAAUGCCACCCUGUAUCCCUGGUACCAAAUUAGCUUGAUUUUUAUGUUUCUGUGUAAAGGGUACCAUGAGCUUUUUGAGGGCAAAAUAUGAACCUUAUUUAUCUGAGGGUCCCAAGCGCUUAGCAUUUCAUACAAGAAAUGUAUGUUGAUUUGAGGCUUGUGGAUCAUGAGGCAAGAUGUGUGGUUGUGCUUGUGCUAAUGUGUUUGGAAGGGAGACAGUGACACCAAUACAUGUUAGUGCUCCUGUUAUAUCCGCCCCUAUGUCAGUCACUCUGCAGAUGGGAAUGGACCUGGAUUGUUCUAUCAUUCAAUUUUUAUAAUAAUUCCUUGAAACAGUUUUGCAGACCCCAAACCAAAACUCGGAAAGGUUAAGGUCAUCCAUCCAGUUAGUUUAGGAUCAAAACUGGGGUCAGGUCCAUCUAUCUCCAGAGGCUGGGUGCCUUCCACUCACCAUUGUUUCUCACUGUUUCUCACCAUCUUCUCUGCUCGUUCAUGGAUUCAGUUACUCCCUCAUUCAUUCAUCAGAUCAAUCCAUCGGCAAAUGUUUAUGAGGCAUUCACCAUGUGCCAGCUGUCUCCUAGGCAGGUGCAAUAUGCUGACAAAAGAGAGAUGAAGGCUCUACCUCAUGAAGAUUAUAUCCUAGUUGGGAGAGGGUAGUAAAUAAAUAAAUAAAAUCCAGUGAUUGAUCUAUGCAACAUAUCAAUAGAGAAAUAUAAUUCAGAGGCAGGAGCCUUCCUGCAGAGGUGACAUUUGAGCUGAGACCUGAAAAAAUAUCCUAAGUGGUUCCAGGUGACAUCCUCCUGCCCUGCCACAUACCCUUUCUCAGAAACUGGAUCACAAAAGUAUCCUAAGCCAUCCAAAGGCCUCCCAUGGGGACCAGUUUUGAAAGCUGGAUUUACAGGAAGAUCCCAGCCUGCCUUCCUGCCAAAGUCCUGUCAGCACUUGCAUGGUCUCCUCAGAUGCCUGCUUUCCUCUCUGCCUGGGCUGGCUCUCCCCACCCAAGGGGGCAAAGGCUACUUGAGGUGGAUGAUUCGGAGGAAUUUUCCAAGCAUCCUUCACACAGCCACUGGCUCCUGUGGUUCCCCCUCUGUGGGAAUCUGUGGCCUGGGUUCUUUUCUCUUCCUCCCCCUCUCUGUCUGGGCAGGGAAAGAACUACAGCGACAGAGGAUUUACCUCCCCCCAAGCACCGCUCUUUACAUACUUCUCUGAAAAUGCCUUUAGUGACGAGACCGCUGCACAUACCUUUGCUUUAUGCGGGGGCGCCAUCUUGCACGUGGUCGGAGAGAAGGCGGUUGAUGCUUCCUCUACAGGAGUGUUCAUUUGUAGACAAAGAGUUUGGCCCAUCACAGAUACAGUCAGAGACAGCACUCCACUACUGAAAUGCUGUGCAAUAUUAGGCUGUAAAAGAGAACACCUGGGCCCAAACAGCGAGAUAAGAGUAUCUGGUAAAGGAGAAACAACAUCAAGUUUGAUAUCAGACAGACCUGGCUUCUCAACCUACUUCAUGACAACAGUGUGAUUUUUAAGGAAUCACUUAAUUUCUCCAAGCCUCUAUGUCCCCAUCUGAAAAACAAGGUUGAUACCUAGAGAGGUUUAAAGUAGUAAAGGAAAAGGGUUGGCCCUGGCCCAAGCGUACUUUGUGAAAAAUGUGUCCAAAGAAAGACAGUCAUCAGUACCUUGGAAAUUUACUGUAAGCGAAUGCCUGGCCAUCAGUUUUGUGAUAAUAAUGACAUGAUUUUUCAGCCCAUCUCUCAGAAUACAAUCCCACUGAUCAAGCUCACUAUAGUGAUGAGAAACCAGAAUUUCAACUUUUUAAAUGAUGAGGAUUGGAAUUGGGAUUAAAAAAAGAAAAACCUCAAGUCAUAUCAGCAUGACUACCACUUUCCCCCACUGGAAAGCACACAGGAAGCCAAGUUAUAAUUAAGGAGGUAGACUGAUGAACGUGGAAGCAGCACAAGGAGAAUCAGACGAAACACCUAUUUCAGGGCAUCCGGACACUGUGGCCACUGGGAACACAUUCACAGCCUCCAAGCUCUCUGCUUCCUGGCGUCCUUUCUGAGAGACUCAUUCUCUCCCUGAGAAAUGCUAACAUGUUCAGUUGAGUUCUUCCAAACUUUUAGACCCAAGAAAUGCUUUUCUGUUGGAAGUGAUUUUUGCAUUGCCCUGUUCUGAUCUCCUGACAUUGGUUUUAUUAUUUAGCUUUCUGGAGGCCACCUUAGUACUAGCCACAACAUUUGUCCAAUGGUUUUCUAGGAAUAGCAAGUGACACAGAUUUCAAGUAGCACUUAGAAGAGAACAGGUAUUGAAGAAGAUACCUGGAGAAGGGGGAGGGGAGAGUUCGUGUAUUGGCCGGGACACGCUUGUGCUCCAAAUCAGAGAAUAUUUCAGAAGGAACAACAGGAAAUGUAAAGAGUGGGGGAAAGCUGCGUCACAAACCAUGGGCAUGUCCUGAUUUCUUCUUCAAACAGCAAAUCCUAUCUCUUAACCGUGAGACUGGGCACGUGACCCACGCUGAACUAGCCAAAGAACCCAGCUCUACAGCAACAGAGAAUAAUGCAUAAGUGAGGCAUAUGACCAAAACCAAACAAAGGCAAUCCUUUCUAAGACCUUAAAAGGCUUUUGUGCUAUUUUUUUCUGUGUUUGGACCUGCUCAGAGCAUAGGAAGAGAUCACAUCCCAGUGGGUAAAGGACAGACUAUCCACUGAAGGAAGACAAAAUACCCAUCAUCUUUGGGAUGAGCUUGUGCACAGAGCAGGAAACAGAGACUCAGAAAAAUGGGAGGGUGGAGCUUCUUCUCAUCCUAGAGACUUUGCCUUGGAUCUACACCACGAGGAAAAAGAGGCGUUCAGGGUGCUGCUGGGAGGAAGUCAAGCAGUGGUCACCACACAUCCAAUUACCCAGGGACAGACAGACAGAGAGAAACAGCCUGUUAAAACCCAUGUGGUUGGGCCAAGAUCUGUGUGCUGAGAGAGCAGGUGUAUCUGGUAACUACCCUGUAAUUCUCGAAUGUCGCUCCAGCCCUCAUCUGUGCUGUGAAAAAGGAGAGGGUUGGAGCUCCCAUUGUGCCUCAGCAGGUUAAGGAUCUAGCACUGCCUCAGCAUAGGUCAAAGAUGCAACUCAGAUCCAGUGUUACCACAGUGGUGGUGUAGGCCAUAGACUGGGUGACUUACAAACAGCAGAAAUUCGGAGUUCCCAUUGUGGCUCAGCGGUAACAAACCUGGCCAGUAUCUAUGAGGAUUCAUAACCCGCUGUAGGUUAAGGAUCUGGCCUUGCCGUGAGCUAUGGUGUAGGCCACAGAUUCGGCUCCGAUCUGGCAUUGCUGUGGCUGUGGUGUGGGCUGGCAGCUACAGUUCCGAUUCAACCCCUAGCCUAGGAACUUGGUGGGUGUGGCCCUUAAAAAAAAAUCAGAAUUCAUUUCUCAUGGUUCUGGAGGGUGGAAUCCGAGAUCCAGGUGCCAGCGAGGUCAGGUUCUGGGGAAAGCCCCCUUCACAGCUCCAGACUGUUGGCUUCUUCCCUCACAUGACAGACAGCAGAGCACAAGCUCUCUCUAUAAAGGCAUUAAUCCCAUUCCCGAGGCUCAGUCCUCACCGUCUCAGCUAAUCUUAACUACCUCCACAGCCCUACCUCCUAACAGCGUCACUUCAGGCGGUAAAGUUUCAACACACAAAAUUUUCAGGGAAGACAAACAUUCGGCUCCUAACAAGAGUAGCCAGUCCACAGCAGCCCCAUGACAGCCGUGAAGCCCUGGCAGCUAGGAACGGAUUGGGGGCUCUUCCCGCCAAAGGUGUAAACUCCCAGGGCUGGCCUUGACCUCCUCCACCCCUGGCAGAGCCACACAGACCCACCCUCCACAGACAACCCCAGGCACUUGGUUUGAUGUUAUGAGGCAGUGCCAUUUUUCCAGCUGCCCUGAGGAUAAUGAUGCCCAGGACCUUUGCGCAGAUGGAUCCGUGGCUGUGGCUUUUUCUUUCCACAGGGAAUUUGCGGGCUACUGAUAUGGAUGUUUCCACCUAAAAGCAGACAGAACCUAUGAGCCUAGAAAUUAAUCCUAAUACAAUCCCAUUACACUGGGAAAGCCAAAGUGCUUCUUUAACUAAGAAGGAUUAAUAAGGAGCAAAAUUACUCUCCUAAAAUGUCCAAAGAGCCCACAACGUGAAAGAAAAAUCUCACAUUUCCUAUGGGAUCUAAAGGAAGAGAAUUAGAACGGAUGGGUAGAAGUUAUACCUAGAUGGAUUUUUAUCCCAUCUUAAGGUAAAAUAUGUGCGGAUCCUUCUACUUGAUAGUAAAGAGCAAAGGAUGACUCUUCUUUUCCUCCCUAACUUACCUGUAAUUCCUCCAAAAGCCCACUAAAGAGCACAUACUGGAGUUCACGUCUUGGCACAGUGGAAACGAAUCCAACUAGGAACCAUGAGGUUGCGGGUUUGAUCCCUAGCUUUGCUCAGUGGGUUAAGGAUCCGGCAUUGCUGUGAGCUGUGGUGUAGGUCACAGAUGUGGCUUGGAUCCUGUGUUGCUGUAGCUGUGGUGUAGGCCGGCAGCUAUAGCACUGAUUAGACCCUAGCCUGGGAACUUCCAUAUACCAUGGGUGCAGCCCUAAAAAGCAAAACAAACAAACAAAAAAACCACUAUGGAGAACAGUAUGGAGGUACCUUAGAAAACUAUACAUAGAACUACCAUACGACCCAGCAAACGCACUCUUGGGCAUAUAUCUUGACAACACUUUCCUUAAAAAAGACACAUGUGCCCACAUGUUCAAUGCAGCUCUAUUCACAAUAGCCAAGCCAUGGAAACAACCCAAAUGUCCAUCGACAGAUGAUUGGAUUAAGAAGAUGUGGUAUAUAUACACAAUGAAAUACUACUCAGCCAUUAAAAAAGAACAAAAUAAUGCCAUUUGCAGCAAUAUGGAUGGAACUAGAGACUCUCACACUGAGUGAAGUAGGUCAGAAAGGGAAAGACAAAUACCAUAUGAUAUCACUUAUAUCUGGAAUCUAAUACAUGGCACAAAUGAAGCUUUCCACAGAAAAGAAAAUCAUGGACUUGGAGAAGAGACUUGUGGUUGCCAAGGGGGAGGGGCAGGGAGUGGGGUGGUUGGGAAGCUUGUGGUUAAUAGAUGCAAACUAUUGCCUUUGGAACAGAUUAGCAAUGAGAUCCAUUGUGUAGCUGUGUAGCACUGAGAACUACGUCUAGUCACUUAUGGAGCAUGAUAUUGUGCAAAAAUAGAAUGUGUACAUGUAUGUGUAACUGGGUCACCAUGCUGUAUAGUAGAAAAAAAUUGUAUUGGGAAAUAACAAUAAAUAAAAAUUUUUUAAUUAAAAAAUAAAUGUUGUCCCACAAAAAAAAAAAAAA
This 6969-nucleotide long non-coding RNA is filed under the name Sus scrofa (pig). RNAcentral's name for it is "lncRNA (ENSSSCG00035010805.1)". The record is from RNAcentral. Lineage: Eukaryota; Metazoa; Chordata; Mammalia; Artiodactyla; Suidae.